This 992-nucleotide long non-coding RNA is filed under the name Heterocephalus glaber (naked mole-rat). Its description in RNAcentral is "lncRNA (ENSHGLG00100033642.1)". Lineage: Eukaryota; Metazoa; Chordata; Mammalia; Rodentia; Bathyergidae. The record is from RNAcentral.
GGCUGGAGUCCGCUCGAGCCCUGCCUCUCCAGGGGCGGGGCCGCCUGUCCCGCCCAUAAAUGGGCGGAGCCGACAAAUCCACGCCCCUCCAAGGGUGGCAUACAUCGUUACUCCGCCCCACCCGGAGGCGGAGUCAGUCUUGCCCGGCGCCAGGCCACGCUCCGCCCGCCGCCCUCAGAUCGCGCCACGAUCCAGGGUCCCGGCCUCCCGCAGGGCAAAGGCAGCUGGCGGUGUAGACGCGGGUAGCCUCGCCAUGAAGUCCCGCAGGGAUAAGCUACACAUCCCGGCCCUGACCCUCGAUCUGUCCCCGAGCAGCCAGAGCCCAGCGCUGCUCAGCCCCAGCAGCCCCUGCAGCCCCUGCAGCCCUUCGCUGGGCCUGCACCUUUGGAGGUCCCCUGGGGCAAAAACAGGUCCAAAGCCUGGUGUGGUGGCGCACCUCUGUCAUCCCAGCACUCUGGGAGGCUGAGGCAGGAGGACUGCAGGGUGGAGCCCAGCCUAGGCAACUUAGUGACUUAGCCAGUUCCUGUCUCAAAAUAAAAUGUAAAAAGGUAGGGACGUUGCUCAGUGAGAAGGCCCUGGGUUCAAUUCCCAGUACUGAAAAAAUAAAAGCAGACCCCAAAUCUACUUCCUCCCAUCAUGAGCUUCCCACCGUCAGUGUCCCCAACACUGCCCAGCCCCUCGCUGGCCUCCUGACGAUCCGUCCUGUCCCGUCCCUGCCCCCCCCCCCCCCGCUGUCCGUGGUGGCUCCCCUGCAAUGACCCCAGCAGGCUCCCAUGGGCAGCCGGCUGCAUCUCCUCUGGACUCCACCUGAGACUCCACCUCUGUAGUCUGCUCCUCGUUUUUCAGUGCCCCUCCUGGCUGCCGUGUCCACUUCUCCAACAGGUCCCGGGCUGAGUCACCAUCUGCCUCUUCACACUCCGACGACAUCACCUUAUGUUGUUGUGGCUGCCUCUUCUCUGUCCCCCAGCCCAGGCCGCCCCUUUGAGGACAGA